Non-coding RNA from Paramuricea clavata, 257 nucleotides. The record is from the annotation of a GenBank genome assembly. Lineage: Eukaryota; Metazoa; Cnidaria; Anthozoa; Malacalcyonacea; Plexauridae.
AAAAAAAUACCCGUGGUUCCGGUUUCAUAUCGUGAAAAAAUUAGGGUCGGUAGGUCGGAAAUAAUUUUUUUUUUAAAUAUUUUUUUCAUGGUUUUGGCGGUUUUUUGCUGGGCGAUUUGCAGUAGAGUCCCGACAUCAAUAUUAAGAGAUGCGUAUUUCCUAUGGACGAAUUUAGGCAAUUUGGUUCAAUAAUUAGUGUGACAACAGACGCCAUUUUGGCACGCUGUAUGAGCAGCCCGCAACCACCUGGAGAAAAU